This 219-nucleotide long non-coding RNA is filed under the name Elaeis guineensis (African oil palm). RNAcentral describes it as "long non-coding RNA (EGUI_LNC004922)". The record is from RNAcentral. Lineage: Eukaryota; Viridiplantae; Streptophyta; Magnoliopsida; Arecales; Arecaceae.
CGCCCAUUUGGUUUGGAUGAGAUUGAUCUGAAUUCAAAUUCAAAUCUGAUUUAAAUUCAAAUUCAAAUCUGAUUUGAAUUCAAGUUCAAAUCACAUAAGGAUUAAUCCUUAUCUUGAAAGAGUUUGAUUUCACCUAAACUCUCUUGGAUGCCAUUCAUAAAAGGGAUCCUUCCUUUGGCAUUAAAAAUAAGAUUUUCACCAUGAGAAAAUUGUGAGAGG